GGAGGUAUAGCUCAGUGGCAGAAUGUGUGCUUAGCAUGCACAGGGUCCUGGGUUCAAUCUCCAGUACCACCA
Molecule: transfer RNA, 72 nt
Filed under: Camelus bactrianus (Bactrian camel)
Lineage: Eukaryota; Metazoa; Chordata; Mammalia; Artiodactyla; Camelidae
Also listed under: 2 other names
Rfam family: tRNA
About the family: Transfer RNA (tRNA) molecules are approximately 80 nucleotides in length.
Source: Rfam by way of RNAcentral